AUUGAACGCUGGCGGCAUGCCUUACACAUGCAAGUCGAACGGCAGCACGGGGCAACCUGGUGGCGAGUGGCGAACGGGUGAGUAAUGCAUCGGAACGUGCCAUUGAGUGGGGGAUAACGUAGCGAAAGUUGCGCCAAUACCGCAUAUUCUGUGAGCAGGAAAGCAGGGGACCGCAAGGCCUUGCGCUCUUUGAGCGGCCGAUGUCAGAUUAGCUAGUUGGUGAGGUAACGGCUUACCAAGGCGACGAUCUGUAGCGGGUCUGAGAGGAUGAUCCGCCACACUGGAACUGAGACACGGUCCAGACUCCUACGGGAGGCAGCAGUGGGGAAUUUUGGACAAUGGGCGCAAGCCUGAUCCAGCCAUGCCGCGUGAGUGAAGAAGGCC
RNAcentral lists this ribosomal RNA (384 nucleotides) under uncultured bacterium. Its description in RNAcentral is "bacterial SSU rRNA". It matches the Rfam family "Bacterial small subunit ribosomal RNA", at positions 30 to 416 of the family's 1533-position model. The record is from RNAcentral.